GUUCUCAUUUUAGUUGUUUUGUUGUGAAUCUUUUGAAGAUCCUUCCAUCUUAUCAAAUUUUGCCCUCUUUUUGACCGAAGUGCUGCCAAAAUUUUGUUUGUGUUCUAACUUGUUCUUCAUGUCAUUCUUCAUAUCUUUGCAUCCUUCAAGAUUCAUUGGUUUCACUCAUUUUCCAAGAAGCAACUAAGCUAUAAUGUUUGCUCUUUAUCCUAAUCUUCCCCUUUUGAUUCUUAGAUCUCGGGGGGAGAUCUCUUGUAAGUGUAGGAGAGUUGUAAGAGCCCGAGUCCGAUGCCCCACAAGAUUCCCCUUUUAUUCGUUUUUGUCGUGUGAUUAUUUUAUUUGUUGCAUUCAUCAUUGCAUCAUUCGCAUCGUCUGCAUUGC
RNAcentral lists this long non-coding RNA (381 nucleotides) under Hordeum vulgare. RNAcentral describes it as "long non-coding RNA (HVUL_LNC015547)". The record is from RNAcentral. Lineage: Eukaryota; Viridiplantae; Streptophyta; Magnoliopsida; Poales; Poaceae.